RNAcentral lists this unclassified non-coding RNA (353 nucleotides) under soil metagenome. RNAcentral's name for it is "partial contains 5.8S ribosomal RNA, internal transcribed spacer 2, and large subunit ribosomal RNA". The stretch from base 1 to 120 matches the Rfam family "5.8S ribosomal RNA", at positions 35 to 154 of the family's 154-position model. The record is from RNAcentral.
GAUGAAGAACGUAGCGAAAUGCGAUACGUAAUGUGAAUUGCAGAUUUCAGUGAAUCAUCGAAUCUUUGAACGCACAUUGCGCCCGCCAGUAUUCUGGCGGGCAUGCCUGUUCGAGCGUCAUUACAACCCUCAGGCCCCCGGGCCUGGCGUUGGGGAUCGGCGGAAGCCCCCUGCGGGCACAACGCCGUCCCCCAAAUACAGUGGCGGUCCCGCCGCAGCUUCCAUUGCGUAGUAGCUAACACCUCGCAACUGGAGAGCGGCGCGGCCACGCCGUAAAACACCCAACUUCUGAAUGUUGACCUCGAAUCAGGUAGGAAUACCCGCUGAACUUAAGCAUAUCAAUAAGCGGAGGA